Molecule: ribosomal RNA, 431 nt
Filed under: uncultured bacterium
Lineage: Bacteria
Description: partial 16S ribosomal RNA
Rfam family: Bacterial small subunit ribosomal RNA
Source: RNAcentral
AACGAACGCUGGCGGCAGGCUUAACACAUGCAAGUCGAGCGCCCCGCAAGGGGAGCGGCAGACGGGUGAGUAACGCGUGGGAACGUACCUUUUGGUUCGGAACAACUCCGGGAAACUGGAGCUAAUACCGGAUAAGCCCUAACGGGGAAAGAUUUAUCGCCGAAAGAUCGGCCCGCGUCUGAUUAGCUAGUUGGUGAGGUAACGGCUCACCAAGGCGACGAUCAGUAGCUGGUCUGAGAGGAUGAUCAGCCACACUGGGACUGAGACACGGCCCAGACUCCUACGGGAGGCAGCAGUGGGGAAUAUAGGGCAAUGGGCGCAAGCCUGAUACAGCCAUGCCGCGUGAGUGAUGAAGGCCUUAGGGUUGUAAAGCUCUUUUGUCCGGGAAGAUAAUGACUGUACCGGAAGAAUAAGCCCCGGCUAACUUCGUG